GCCAUGGUGGCGUAGUGGUUAACGCAUCUGCCUAGUGAGCAGGAGACUUGGGUUCGAAUCCCAAUCUUCGUA
RNAcentral lists this transfer RNA (72 nucleotides) under Schistocerca americana (American grasshopper). RNAcentral's name for it is "tRNA-Thr". It matches the Rfam family "tRNA". From Rfam's summary of the family: Transfer RNA (tRNA) molecules are approximately 80 nucleotides in length. Their secondary structure includes four short double-helical elements and three loops (D, anti-codon, and T loops). Further hydrogen bonds mediate the characteristic L-shaped molecular structure. tRNAs have two regions of fundamental functional importance: the anti-codon, which is responsible for specific mRNA codon recognition, and the 3' end, to which the tRNAs corresponding amino acid is attached (by aminoacyl-tRNA synthetases). tRNAs cope with the degeneracy of the genetic code in two manners: having more than one tRNA (with a specific anti-codon) for a particular amino acid; and 'wobble' base-pairing, i.e. permitting non-standard base-pairing at the 3rd anti-codon position. Lineage: Eukaryota; Metazoa; Arthropoda; Insecta; Orthoptera; Acrididae. The record is from RNAcentral.